GUUUUGGCAUGGAGAAAGGGUAGCGUUUGUUUAGCUCCCACAACUUUACCUCAAGUGUGUCUGAAGCACAAGGCUUCAUCAAGUUUUACUCUAAGCUGAAAGUUGAAGUCAACAUUUUCCUCUUGGUCUAUAACCCGGCAAAGUGUUCUACGGUGUACAAUAAAGAAACACAUCAGUA
Long non-coding RNA from Engraulis encrasicolus (European anchovy), 178 nucleotides. RefSeq lists it as uncharacterized. NCBI's taxonomy places the organism in Eukaryota, Metazoa, Chordata, Actinopteri, Clupeiformes, Engraulidae. The record is from RefSeq and is a predicted model, not a curated record. The transcript is spliced from 2 exons.